AGUUUUAGGUGACACCAGUAUUCUCUCUGUUCCACAGAACAUGGCUGCAGUGCUGGGCACUGCUGUGUCCCCAUGAGGUCACUGCUAAGAGCUGCACCCACUGCUGAGUGCACCCACUGCUGAACAUGAGAGGCACAGUACCACUGCAGCUAGAGACAAAGCAAAGAACUCAGAGCUACGUCAAACACUACAACACGUAACUGCUGAAAUCCAGUGCCUUUUUUAUUUCCUUCUUUGCUCCUGAGCUCCUGAAAUAUGUUUUUCACUGUCCCAUGGCAACUGUUUCUCCUAUUUGUGUUGAUAUGUGAGAACUGGGAUUUUGAGAAGCUAUUGUGAAGGAAAACUUCAAAAAAUCACACCGCUGGAAGACCGGGAGCAGAGAAGAGUUCAAAAGAAGGACAAAGAAUAGCAGCGUGCCUAUGGUGCGAGCUGUUGUAAAGGCAGUUGCUCGUAAAAGUUCCACAGCAGAGUGAACGUCUCAGUAUGCUUUAAAUGAAGUGGUUUUGCAGAUGUGAUCACAGCAAGGUGGCCUUCACUUCGCUGGGUACCACACAUGGGUCACAGUGGCUUACGUGAUUGUUCCUGAGUAUCUUGGCAAGUUGGGUCCUGCAGCCCUGGCCACACUUCACCCUGGGCAAGUGCUGCCUUCAUUCACUGGCAGAUCAUUCAAGGGAUCCUUUUUGCGAGUGACAGCUGAAAGGCAUUAAAUUGUACAGUAAAUCAUUUAACCGGAGCCUAGAAUGUGUGAACACCAAACCACCAACUUUGACAGGAGAAAAUCAGAAUUUAUUUUGUGCUUUGAACUGUUUUAGCAUUAAUGGCCCAGUUUAACCACAUAUAACAAGAGUAAUCUGUUCAGUUUUCAGCAAGGUCUUCCGCUGGAUAUUGUAUACCUCUGUGGUGGUUUCCUGCAACUAUGUGAGGUUUCUUACUUGGGAUUUUUGUUUUAAAAAUGAAUUUUUCACUCUUGAAAGGUGACAGAAUGCUAGCUGAGGAAGACAAAGUCUAUCCACACCACAGUUCAGCAAUAGAUCUCAUGCACUUCCCUCAGUCCCGUUGUGCAGGAAUACACAGGGUGAGAGAAUGAAGACAGUUUGGGAUGAACAGCAAGGAGCAAUGAUGCCCUUCGCAGUGAUCCUCAAAUUCUCUGCUCCUUGGGGAAUCCUUGUGGAAGGUCUGCUUUGCAUCUUCUGACUUUCAAAAAGUGGUUCCUAUUGACAGUUUUACCAAGAAAAAAGAAAAUAAAACAAAUCAAACCACAUUGGUAAGGGAAAUAACAGAACUUUUGACAAGAUGGUCUGUUCAAAACUCCUAGGUCACCCUGUUCAGAAAGUAUCCAGUCAGUUUGGCCCAGUAUAAAUACAGAAGUGAACUAAAACAGAAAGCCAUGUUCUGAAGUCAGAGGACCAGAGCAGGGAGAAAGGCAAAGGCUGAAGGAAGUGAGCGUGGCAGGCAGGAGGUGCUGCCAAGGGGGGACUUGCAGGGCACAUCCCCAGAGCUGUGACCAGACACCGCUGCAGGCAGGAGCAGCCAGCUGGCAGCAGGGCUGCACACAUGCACUGAUUUACCCUGGCGCUGAACUGCCCUGGGAAAAUGGGAAUUGGAGAGUUCAUUGGAGAGUUAAAGCCAGCAACAGCACUGUGCUCCAGUUAAGCCCAGCUUCUCGUUUGCACAGCCAUCAGAGAGAGAGCCUUGGUUUAUGAGGACAUCAGCGUGCUGCAGCCAGCCAGGACCUUGUCAGAGCUGAUGGCAUUGAUGCUGGAGCAUGUCUACCCUCUUUCCAGCUGGGCUGGUCUCCCCAACCUCCUGUGGCAUUCAGAAAUGUCCAGAGCUGUGCAGAGGUGUCAUUUUCCAUCCAGGGGAGGUGCUCACAGCCACCAACCACCUACCUUCCCCAUUGGCCUGGAUGAAUGCUGCAGCAGCACCGACCUGAGCACCCCGACGCGACUAUGCUGGACUCCCCAGCAAUCCCAGCCUCUUCACUGUCCUAUGUGUUUCUGUUGUGCAGUGCUUUUACUCUUGUUAUUUUCUUUUUGGCACGGAGGUUGAAUGCUGGUGGGGAGUUUGGCUUGUUGCUUUGGAGCAGAAGAAUAGAAUCAGAGCUAGGAAAGGCACUCCAGGUGCUGCCCACCGCAGAGCGGAAGGACAUGAGGAGCUUCUUGCGUAGUGGGUGGGUGAGCACCUUGGGUCCUGCAGGGCACUGCCAGAAACACAGGUGGUCUGCGAACUACAGAGGCUUAGAAAAUGUUUGGGGGUUGGAAUAGAAAGGUCCCCAAGGCGUGGCACUGAGCGUCUAGAGAGGGAUAUUUUUAGUUUCACUAUGUUAUGUUAUUACUGAAAAUUAACAAAAAGUCUUCUUCUUUAAUCUCUGCUAUGCCACUAACUGAGAAAGAGCCUGUAAGUGUUUUACUGUAUUGCUACGGACGCCGCUUCCAAAGGCACAGUGCCAGGCUGUGCGCUGGGCUCACCGCUCCAGGUUAGCAGGCCCACUGGGAAGUCAAACACAGCAGGGAGGAUGCAGUAGGAAAACAAGAUGAGACGGUCGAAGAUGAGAACAAUUUCCAAACACCAAACUGCGUUCGCAUUUCCUUUCCUCCCAAUUGCAGCUUUAAGGCAGCAGAAGGGGUUUUGUAUGGAGCAAUAGUGGCAUCUAGCGACCACAGCUAGAUCA
Molecule: long non-coding RNA, 2671 nt
Organism: Gallus gallus (chicken)
Lineage: Eukaryota; Metazoa; Chordata; Aves; Galliformes; Phasianidae
Source: Ensembl